GCUAGUAAUCGCGAAUCAGAAUGUCGCGGUGAAUACGUUCCCGGGCCUUGUACACACCGCCCGUCACACCAUGGGAGUCGGAUAUGCCCGAAGUCAGUGACCCAACCUUUUGGAGGGAGCUGCCGAAGGUGGAGCCGAUAACUGGGGUGAAGUCGUAACAAGGUAAC
RNAcentral lists this ribosomal RNA (167 nucleotides) under uncultured bacterium. Its description in RNAcentral is "partial 16S ribosomal RNA". It matches the Rfam family "Bacterial small subunit ribosomal RNA", at positions 1334 to 1500 of the family's 1533-position model. The record is from RNAcentral.